RNAcentral lists this ribosomal RNA (465 nucleotides) under uncultured bacterium. RNAcentral describes it as "partial 16S ribosomal RNA". It matches the Rfam family "Bacterial small subunit ribosomal RNA", at positions 28 to 507 of the family's 1533-position model. The record is from RNAcentral.
GACGAACGCUGGCGGCGUGCUUAACACAUGCAAGUCGUACGGUAAGGCCCUUUCGGGGGUACACGAGUGGCGAACGGGUGAGUAACACGUGAGUAACCUGCCCACAACUUUGGGAUAACGCUAGGAAACUGGUGCUAAUACUGGAUAUGUGCUCCUGCUGCAUGGUGGGGGUUGGAAAGCUCCGGCGGUUGUGGAUGGACUCGCGGCCUAUCAGCUUGUUGAUGGGGUAGUGGCCUACCAAGGCGGCGACGGGUAGCCGGCCUGAGAGGGUGACCGGCCACAUUGGGACUGAGAUACGGCCCAGACUCCUACGGGAGGCAGCAGUGGGGAAUAUUGCACAAUGGGCGCAAGCCUGAUGCAGCAACGCCGCGUGCGGGAUGACGGCCUUCGGGUUGUAAACCGCUUUCAGCAGGGACGAAGCUUUUUGUGACGGUACCUGCAGAAGAAGCACCGGCUAACUACGUG